Molecule: ribosomal RNA, 498 nt
Filed under: uncultured bacterium
Lineage: Bacteria
Description: partial 16S ribosomal RNA
Rfam family: Bacterial small subunit ribosomal RNA
Source: RNAcentral
GAUGAACGCUGGCGGCGUGCCUAAUACAUGCAAGUCGAGCGAACAGACGAGGAGCUGGCGCCUCUGACGGUAGCGGCGGACGGGAGAGGAACACGGGGAUAACCUACCUAUAAGACUGGGGUAAUUUCGGGAGACCGGGGCUAAGGCCGGAUAAUAUAUUGAACUGCGUUGUUCAAUAGUUAAAGAAGGUUGUUCGUUCGCUUAUAGAUGGCUCAGAGACGCAUUAGCUAGUUGGUAAGGUAGCGGCUUAGCAAGGCGAGGAAGGGUAGACGCCCUCAAAGGGGACGCUGCCACGCUGGACUUGGGACACGGUCCACAACACUAGGGGAGGCAGCCGUAGCGGACCUUCCGCAAUGGGAGAAAGCCUGACGAAGCAACGCCGCGCGAGAGACGAAGCUCUUCGGAUCGUGAAACUCUGUUAUUCGGGAAGAACAAAUGUGUAAGUAACUCUGCACGUCUUGACGGUACCUAAUCAGAAAGCCACGGCUUACUUCGUGC